RNAcentral lists this ribosomal RNA (482 nucleotides) under uncultured bacterium. Its description in RNAcentral is "partial 16S ribosomal RNA". It matches the Rfam family "Bacterial small subunit ribosomal RNA", at positions 30 to 507 of the family's 1533-position model. The record is from RNAcentral.
AUUGAACGCUGGCGGCAUGCCUUACACAUGCAAGUCGAACGGUAACAGGUCUUCGGAUGCUGACGAGUGGCGAACGGGUGAGUAAUACAUCGGAACGUGCCCGAUCGUGGGGGAUAACGAGGCGAAAGCUUUGCUAAUACCGCAUACGAUCUACGGAUGAAAGCGGGGGAUCUUCUGACCUCGCGCGGUCGGAGCGGCCGAUGGCGGAUUAGGUAGUUGGUGGGAUAAAAGCUUACCAAGCCGACGAUCUGUAGCUGGUCUGAGGGGAUGAUCAGCCACACUGGGACUGAGACACGGCCCAGACUCCUACGGGAGGCAGCAGUGGGGAAUUUUGGACAAUGGGCGAAAGCCUGAUCCAGCCAUGCCGCGUGCAGGAUGAAGGCCUUUGGGUUGUAAACUGCUUUUGUACGGAACGAAAAGCCUCUUUCUAAUAAAGAGGGGUCAUGACGGUACCGUAAGAAUAAGCACCGGCUAACUACGUG